This 124-nucleotide small RNA is filed under the name Serratia marcescens. Its description in RNAcentral is "RtT sRNA". It matches the Rfam family "RtT RNA". Rfam says of the family: This family represents a bacterial cis-regulatory element known as RtT RNA. The exact function of RtT is unknown although it is thought that it may be involved in changing the cellular response in relation to amino acid starvation. The record is from RNAcentral. RNAcentral also lists the same sequence under 1 other name. Lineage: Bacteria; Pseudomonadati; Pseudomonadota; Gammaproteobacteria; Enterobacterales; Yersiniaceae.
UAGUUUACCGAGUCGUGCAGGAUGAAGAACCGUAGAGGUUCGAGCAUCGCGCAGCGAUACGACGACGCGCAGCGUUGCCCGCAGGGUGAGGCCACAGGCCGAAUCAAUCCUGCACGACCCACCA